This 473-nucleotide long non-coding RNA is filed under the name Pandoravirus salinus. RNAcentral's name for it is "putative ncRNA". The record is from RNAcentral.
GGCCACUCGGCCCGGUCUCGCCGGGCGCGCCGAGAGGGCCUCUGGCGCCGGGUGCGCGCACGGUCGCCACGCAGCGCGUGGGACAGAUUGGAUUGUCUCGGUGGGUCAUCGCCUUUGAUGUGAUUUAUGCGGCGCUCCCGACCGACGUCGUCUGAUGUGCAGUGCGCGUCGCGAUGUGUGCACUCACGCGCAAACACCAAAUGCGACGAGAAUGGCUUUGGCAACGUGACCGUCGGUAGACUCGGCGGCGUGGGUCGUCGCCGUCGGGUUUUCAUGACGAUCGGGCAAGUCGCGCGUACGCGAGACGACAGCGCGCUCGGCGCGACCGUACACGGACACACGCACGCACGGCACACAUUUUUUUCUCCCCUCACAGAGGCGCCAGGGACGACGGCAAUGUGGACCGGGCUGCGGCGGCCUGCCCAUCUCUUUUUUUUCCCUGUCUGGCUCGCGAGCCAUAGGCCAGGAAUAAA